UACGUAGGGGGCGAGCGUUGUCCGGAUUUACUGGGCGUAAAGCGCGUGUAGGCGGCUGUCUAAGUUGGGUGUGAAAGCCCGGGGCUCAACCCCGGGACGCCGCCCAAGACUGGACGGCUUGAGGACGGAAGAGGGGCGUGGAAUUCCAGGUGUAGCGGUGAAAUGCGUAGAGAUCUGGAGGAACACCCGUGGCGAAGGCGGCGCCCUGGUCCGUUACUGACGCUGAGACGCGAAAGCGUGGGGAGCAAACAGG
RNAcentral lists this ribosomal RNA (253 nucleotides) under uncultured bacterium. RNAcentral's name for it is "partial 16S ribosomal RNA". It matches the Rfam family "Bacterial small subunit ribosomal RNA", at positions 524 to 776 of the family's 1533-position model. The record is from RNAcentral.